CUUUGAAAUGUCAGAUCUUUCUUUUUUGUUGCCUUUUCCUGAUUUUAAACUUUCUGCUUUUUUUCCCUACUAGUCCAUUGCAGGAGUUGAGGGCUUCCUUUCCUCCUGUUCCCUACUUUUUUUUUUCUUAGUCUCCUCUCUGGAUUGGAGUAAUUUAGUUGACGUAAUGAUCAUUUAAGCACUCCCUUGCACAGAACAUAAAUUUGUUUUGAUAGGAGAUUAUCAGAUCUUUAGAACUUCAGGUUUUAAAAUCUCCAUUCAGUAUGGAUAGCUAUUGUGUUUGAGGGGACUGAUGAAGAAAAUCCCAUGAGGGGAAGAGCUCUUUGCAUAAUGCCUUGCCUUAGUGAGGAGCUGUGAUAACUUUCUGAUACGCAAUACCCAAGGAUAGAGUUCAUGGAACCAUUUUACACCAGCCUUUCCUAGCUUACUUCCACAAGAUCGUCUUAUUUCCUUCUAGGAAGGACCUGGUUUGAAUCCUCUGGUUUGCAGCUGCCAUAGCUCUUCCAGCAUUCUGAGCCAAAGAAAAGUUGGCUCAAGAACGUUUGUGUCCUACUGGGUCUUCUUGUUAGGACCUACAGUGGGCAAUUGGAACUGGUGGAACCUCUCAGGUGGGUUCAUUUCACUUUCCUAUCAUUGUCUUUGCCUGUCAUGAAAGACAGGGGACACAAGACCAACCUGAAACUUUAUUUCCUUGAUCUUUUGGCCAUCAUCUUGAAAAUAGAAGUCCUUUCAUCCUUCCAAGGUUGACCCACGAUUAUUUAGUGUCUU
Molecule: long non-coding RNA, 768 nt
Filed under: Bos taurus (domestic cattle)
Lineage: Eukaryota; Metazoa; Chordata; Mammalia; Artiodactyla; Bovidae
Description: long non-coding RNA NONBTAT008150
Source: RNAcentral